Molecule: long non-coding RNA, 13588 nt
Organism: Drosophila novamexicana
Lineage: Eukaryota; Metazoa; Arthropoda; Insecta; Diptera; Drosophilidae
Exons: 3
Source: RefSeq, a predicted model, not a curated record
AUUAGUGCUCAAGUGAAGUUCUCUCGUGAAACUGAAAUUUAGUUAAAGAAAAGUUGUUUCUGAUAUAAAGUGCUAAAUUUUCACAUUAGUUGUUACACACACACAUACCAUGUAUAUAUAUUGUUCAACGGCAAUGCAAAAGUGUGCAGAAACAGUUGGAAAGGCGAACCUGCGGAGCUAUAACAUGGCACGAAGGCUGAAAUAAUUGCUAGUACGGGUUUCUCAAGCAUUUCUGCUCUGAACAAAGAAAAUGAAAUCAGCUUCUCGUCCUCCUCGUCGACAUCUCAGCGUGGGCACGUCAGGCAUUUUCACAUAACGGCGAAAUGGGGCCACACGAAACCAGACUUGGCGGUGCGAAAACCCAAACCAAGUUUUUCAUCUUUGGCUAGAAAGUUGCACUGUAGGCAGGCUGAGGCAGAUGCCAGGCGUUUGAAUUGCUAGCCGGAGUGUGCGGAGUGUGUGUGUUGUCCUGGACUUGAGGAGUUUGGAUAGGAAGCCAGGUAUAAAACGCAGCGAAGACAGCUUGUUCUCUCUUGUUAUACUUGGGCGUUGAAAGUUGAUACGCGAUCGAUCGAUGUUAUAACUCGAAUGCAAUGCGUGCGAAAGGGCAUUACAACAGCUGAAAUAUGCCGUUGGUUUUUGGCCCCGUUAGCCGUGUGGCGAGAGUAUAUCUGAACUCAGCGACCUGUGUGUGUGUCGCUACCUACACACAGGGGUACUAAACAUCGUUUUUAUCAGAUUGUGAUUGCGUGGAUUGAAUUUAUAGGAACCUGUAUCGACUUCUCUGCUCUACUAUGACUUGUUCAAAACAAAGGCGCACAAUUACCUAUACGUUUAUAUACGGCCUUCUAUUAUUUACCUAACAUCAUCGAACCGUUAUCAAUACCGAUCCAAACAGAUAUAAACACUACUGACAUCGAUCGAUAAAGAUAUAUAUAUAUAUCUCGUAUCUGGAGUAGCAACUGAACGAGCCGAUCGUUAGUUCGUUUUAUGCAGCACAAUUUACAAACUAUAUUCUUGUUAUUUACUUAUUUUUUUUUCUGUUGUAAACAUAAACAUUUGCUAGUACACGACAUGUGCGACUUAAGUUCUUAAAUACCUGAAACUGUUAAACAAAAAGAAAAAAACAAAGAAAAUAUUCUGUUUUUGUACACACAACCCAAGAUUUAAGAAAAUUUGUCCAUUUAUUGUUGUAAAUAUACUUGUCCAUACCAGUUAUAGAUAAUGAAUGAAGAAUAUAAGCAAAAAAAAAAAAAAAAGAAUGAGCUCAUCAAUACAGAAAAGCUACAAACAAAAAAGAAUAAAAGAAAUCUAAGAAGACCAAUAAAUUUCGAAACAAUUGUUCGCCAUAUUUUUAUUUUAAGCUAAAAUUCUAUACAAAUUUCAGUCUAAUCAUCGUACAAAUGGAGGAAGGGCCACUCUAAAUAUCCCAUACAGGUUUAUUUACUCGAAAAUUAUGCGUAUAAAAGUAUAAAAAUUUUAAGGUUUGAAGUUAAGGUAAACAUCGACAAUUUCUAUAUAUAUACGAGGCAUUCCCUAUAAAUAUAAGUUAAUAUUUUAGCCAAUACACAUACCUUGCGAUCAUAUAAGGGAAAUAUAACAUGCGAAUUUGUUAGUUAUAAAUAUAUUAGGGUUUUGGUAAAUGCUAACAAGUUAUGCGAUAAGCUGCAAAAAUGGUUGAAUAUUCAAAUAAUCUAUACGACACUCCAACGGCCGUAUUUAUACAAAUUUUAAAUACCCAACAUUACACAAUAUUCUACAAUUUAUUCAAAUUUUUCCGAUUUACUUAUGAGAUUAAGCGUCUUCAAUUUUUCUACAAUUUAUUUUUGGUUAGUCCUCGGUUUACUAGAUAUUAAACUCUACAACACAACCUGAACAGUUUACAUAUAAAAAUCAAAUUUACUUCAAAUACAAAGAGAACUAAACAAGGAUUAAACACAAAGAUUAAACACUAAUCCUCAAAAGCAAUUUUUCUUCCACAACUUAACAUCGGAACUUAACUUCAAUGACAAAAAAUACUCCUUAAUGGUCUAAAUUGUCCAGCAUAAAAUGGAACAUAUCAUCCAAUUAUGAUCUAGCUACUUUUCAACCUGGAAAUUUCCUCCAAAGAAUGAGUAUGAACUUUCCAAAAUCGUCUGAAUCAUCUGAAUCAAUGGAAACUACACGUCAGGCCAAGCAUAAAUCUACCUCAACGCACCACAUUUAAUUCAAGCUAAAACUUCUCAAAUAUUAAUGUGCCAACCAAGUAUACAUCCACAAAAGAUUCUUCUGCUUCUCAACUUCUCCAUCUACAAGCAACUCAAUAUCUUCUACUUCCCAACUGCUCCUCCAUCUACAAGCAACUAAACACAGCUGACAUCUUUCAAACUCAUCUGGUUGCUAUGUUUUAAGUUCGAUUUUCAACAACUUCAAAAUAUUUUUUACAACGUUCCUCAUCUUUCGACAAAUUUUACCAUUUAUAUAUAUAUCUGACCCGUGAUUACAACCAAAUUUUAAGUUUAAUUUAUAAUACACAAUCUACGAAACAUUCUACUCAAACCACGUUGUCUUAUACAUCUCCCUUAUAAAACUGCGUCCAAUAUAAAUUAUACAAUACUAAACAAACGAAAGAGUAUCAAAACAAAAAAUAUACACAAAACAAUCUGAAAAUCCCGUGUGCUCCGAACAUGGCCAAUUCUGGUAAACCCUACACGAAAAAAUCCUUUACAAAAGCUGCUUUCUAUUCAAAUAUUGCAAUACUAAAUAUACGAAAAAAGUGUAAAAACACACGAAAACUGCGAUAAAUUUUACGAAAAUGGUGUGUUCGGUCACGAAAGAGUGUGAAAACAUAGAAAUUUCCCUUUUAGGUAGGUCAUACACAAACCUCGAUUACAACCCAAAUUUUAAACAUACAAGAGAACGAGAACAUACACGAAAACUGCGAUGAAUUCGAAGAGAAUGGUGCUCGGUUAAGAGUGUGAAAACAUAGAAAUUUCGCUAUUAGGUAGGUUAUACACAAACUGCGAUGAAUUUGAGAGUAGUGUUCGAUUAAGAAAGAGUGUGAAAACAUAGAAAUUUCCCUUUUAGGUAUGUCAUACACAAUCUGCGUUGAAUUUGAAGAGAAUGGUGUUCGGUUAAGAGUGAAAACAUAGAAAUUUCCCUAUUAGGUAGGUCAAACACAAACCUCGAUACCCACCCAAAUUUUAAACAUACAAGAGUGUGAAAACAUACACAAAAACUGCGAUGAAUUUAAAGAGAAUUGCGUUCGGUUAGGAAAGAGUGUGAAAACAUAGAAAUUUCCCUUUUAGGUAGGUCAAACACAAACCUCGAUUACAACCCAAAUGUUAAACAUACAAGAGUGUGAAAACAUACACGAAAACUGCGAUAAAUUUAAAGAGAAUGGCGUGUUCGGUUAGGAAAGAGUGUGAAAACAUAGAAAUUUCCCUUUUAGGUAGGUCAAACACAAACCUCGAUUACAACCCAAAUGUUAAACAUACAAGAGUGUGAAAACAUACACGAAAACUGCGAUGAAUUCGAAGAGAAUGGUGUUCGGUUAAGAGUGUGAAAACAUAGAAAUUUCGCUAUUAGGUAGGUUAUACACAAACUGCGAUGAAUUUGAGAGUAGUGUUCGAUUAAGAAAGAGUGUGAAAACAUAGAAAUUUCCCUUUUAGGUAUGUCAAAACAAACUGCGAUAAAUUUUACGAAAAUGGCGUGUUCGGUUAAGAAAGAAUGUGAAAACAUAGAAAUUUCCCUAUUAGGUAGGUCAUACACAAACCUCGAUACCCACCCAAAUUUUAAACAUACAAGAGUGUGAAAACAUACACGAAAACUGCGAUGAAUGUAAAGAGAAUUGCUAUCGGUUAAGAGUGUGAAGACAUAGAAAUUUUACUUUUAGGUAGGUCAUACACAAUCUGCGUUGAAUUUGAAGAGAAUGGUGUUCGGUUGAGUGAAAACAUAGAAAUUUCCCUAUUAGGUAGGUCAAACACAAACCUCGAUACCCACCCAAAUUUUAAACAUACAAGAGUGUGAAAACAUACACGAAAACUGCGAUGAAUGUAAAGAGAAUUGCUAUCGGUUAAGAGUGUGAAGACAUAGAAAUUUUACUUUUAGGUAGGUCAUACACAAUCUGCGUUGAAUUUGAAGAGAAUGGUGUUCGGUUGAGUGAAAACAUAGAAAUUUCCCUAUUAGGUAGGUCAAACACAAACCUCGAUACCCACCCAAAUUUUAAACAUACAAGAGUGUGAAAACAUACACGAAAACUGCGAUAAAUUUAAAGAGAAUGGCGUGUUCGGUUAGGAAAGAGUGUGAAAACAUAGAAAUUUCCCUUUUAGGUAGGUCAAACACAAACCUCGAUUACAACCCAAAUUUUAAACAUACAAGAGUGUGAAAACAUACACGAAAACUGCGAUGAAUUUAAAGAGAAUGGCGUGUUUGGUUAGGAAAGAGUGUGAAAACAUAGAAAUUUCCCUUUUAGGUAGGUCAUUCACAAACUGCGAUGAAUUUAAAGAGAAUGGCGUGUUCGGUUAGGAAAGAGUGUAAAAACAUAGAAAUUUCCCUUUUAGGUAGGUCAAACACAAACCUCGAUUACAACCCAAAUGUUAAACAUACAAGAGUGUGAAACCAUACACGAAAACUGCGAUAAAUUUUACGAAAAUGGCGUGUUCGGUUAGGAAAGAGUGUGAAAACAUAGAAAUUUUCCUAUUAGGUAGGUCAUACACAAACUGCGAUGAAUUUGAGAGUGGAGUGUUCGGUUAAGAGUGUGAAUACAUAGAAAUUUCCCUUUUAGGUAGGUCAAACACAAACCUCGAUUACAACCCAAAUGUUAAACAUACAAGAGUGUGAAACCAUACACGAAAACUGCGAUAAAUUUUACGAAAAUGGCGUGUUCGGUUAAGAAAGAAUGUGAAAACAUAGAAAUUUCCCUAUUAGGUAGGUCAUACACAAACCUCGAUACCCACCCAAAUUUUAAACAUACAAGAGUGUGACAACAUUCACGAAAACUGCGAUGAAUUUAAAGAGAAUUGCUAUCGGUUAAGAGUGUGAAGACAUAGAAAUUUUACUUUUAGGUAGGUCAUACACAAUCUGCGUUGAAUUUGAAGAGAAUGGUGUUCGGUUAAGAGUGUGAAGACAUAGAAAUUUCCCUUUUAGGUAGGUUAUACACAAACUGCGAUGAAUUUGAGAGUAGUGUUCGAUUAAGAGUGUGAAAACAUAGAAAUUUCGCUAUUAGGUAGGUCAUUCACAAACUGCGAUGAAUUUAAAGAGAAUGGCGUGUUCGGUUAGGAAAGAGUGUGAAAACGUAGAAAUUUCCCUUUUAGGUAGGUCAUACACAAUCUGCGUUGAAUUUGAAGAGAAUGGUGUUCGGUUAGGAAAGAGUGUGAAAACGUAGAAAUUUCCCUAUUAGGUAGGUCAAACACAAACCUCGAUACCCACCCAUAUUUUAAACAUACAAGAGUGUGAAAACAUACACGAAAACUGCGAUAAAUUUUACGAAAAUGGCGUGUUCGGUUAAGAAAGAAUGUGAAAACAUAGAAAUUUCCCUUUUAGGUAGGUCAUACACAAUCUGCGUUGAAUUUAAAGAGAAUUGCGUUCGGUUAAGUGUGAAAACAUAGAAAUUUCCCUUUUAGGUAGGUCAAACACAAACCUCGAUUACAACCCAAAUGUUAAACAUACAAGAGUGUGAAAACAUACACGAAAACUGCGAUAAAUUUUACGAAAAUGGCGUGUUCGGUUAAGAAAGAAUGUGAAAACAUAGAAAUUUCCCUUUUAGGUAGGUCAAACACAAACCUCGAUUACAACCCAAAUGUUAAACAUACAAGAGUGUGAAAACAUUCACGAAAACUGCGAUGAAUUUAAAGAGAAUUGCUAUCGGUUAAGAGUGUGAAGACAUAGAAAUUUUACUUUUAGGUAGGUCAUACACAAUCUGCGUUGAAUUUGAAGAGAAUGGUGUUCGGUUAAGAGUGUGAAGACAUAGAAAUUUCCCUUUUAGGUAGGUUAUACACAAACUGCGAUGAAUUUGAGAGUAGUGUUCGAUUAAGAGUGUGAAAACAUAGAAAUUUCGCUAUUAGGUAGGUCAUUCACAAACUGCGAUGAAUUUAGAGAGAAUGGCGUGUUCGGUUAGGAAAGAGUGUGAAAGCGUAGAAAUUUCCCUUUUAGGUAGGUCAUACACAAUCUGCGUUGAAUUUGAAGAGAAUGGUGUUCGGUUGAGUGAAAACAUAGAAAUUUCCCUAUUAGGUAGGUCAAACACAAACCUCGAUACCCACCCAAAUUUUAAACAUACAAGAGUGUGAAAACAUACACGAAAACUGCGAUAAAUUUAAAGAGAAUGGCGUGUUCGGUUAGGAAAGAGUGUGAAAACAUAGAAAUUUCCCUUUUAGGUAGGUCAAACACAAACCUCGAUUACAACCCAAAUGUUAAACAUACAAGAGUGUGAAAACAUACACGAAAACUGCGAUAAAUUUUACGAAAAUGGCGUGUUCGGUUAAGAAAGAAUGUGAAAACAUAGAAAUUUCCCUUUUAGGUAGGUCAUACACAAUCUGCGUUGAAUUUAAAGAGAAUUGCGUUCGGUUAAGUGUGAAAACAUAGAAAUUUCCCUAUUAGGUAGGUCAAACACAAACCUCGAUUACAACCCAAAUUUUAAACAUACAAGAGAGUGAGAACAUACACGAAAACUGCGAUGAAUUUGAAGAGAAUGGUGUUCGGUUAAGAGUAUGAAAACAUAGAAAUUUCCCUUUUAGGUAGGUCAUUCACAAACUGCGAUGAAUUAAAAGAGAAUGGCGUAAAAACAUAGAAAUUUCCCUUUUAGGUAGGUCAAACACAAACCUCGAUUACAACCCAAAUGUUAAACAUACAAGAGUGUGAAAACAUUCACGAAAACUGCGAUGAAUUUAAAGAGAAUUGCUAUCGGUUAAGAGUGUGAAGACAUAGAAAUUUUACUUUUAAGUAGGUCAUACACAAUCUGCGUUGAAUUUGAAGAGAAUGGUGUUCGGUUAAGAGUGAAAACAUAGAAAUUUCCCUUUUAGGUAGGUUAUACACAAACUGCGAUGAAUUUGAGAGUAGUGUUCGAUUAAGAGUGUGAAAACAUAGAAAUUUCGCUAUUAGGUAGGUCAUUCACAAACUGCGAUGAAUUUAAAGAGAAUGGCGUGUUCGGUUAGGAAAGAGUGUGAAAACGUAGAAAUUUCCCUUUUAGGUAGGUCAUACACAAUCUGCGUUGAAUUUGAAGAGAAUGGUGUUCGGUUAAGAGUGUGAAAACAUAGAAAUUUUACUUUUAGGUAGGUCAUACACAAUCUGCGUUGAAUUUAAAGAGAAUUGCGUUCGGUUAAGUGUGAAAACAUAGAAAUUUCCCUAUUAGGUAGGUCAAACACAAACCUCGAUUACAACCCAAAUUUUAAACAUACAAGAGAGUGAGAACAUACACGAAAACUGCGAUGAAUUUGAAGAGAAUGGUGUUCGGUUAAGAGUAUGAAAACAUAGAAAUUUCCCUUUUAGGUAGGUCAUUCACAAACUGCGAUGAAUUAAAAGAGAAUGGCGUAAAAACAUAGAAAUUUCCCUUUUAGGUAGGUCAAACACAAACCUCGAUUACAACCCAAAUGUUAAACAUACAAGAGUGUGAAAACAUACACGAAAACUGCGAUAAAUUUUACGAAAAUGGCGUGUUCGGUUAAGAAAGAAUGUGAAAACAUAGAAAUUUCCCUUUUAGGUAGGUCAUACACAAUCUGCGUUGAAUUUAAAGAGAAUUGCGUUCGGUUAAGAGUGUGAAAACAUAGAAAUUUUACUUUUAGGUAGGUCAUACACAAUCUGCGUUGAAUUUGAAGAGAAUGGUGUUCGGUUGAGUGAAAACAUAGAAAUUUCCCUAUUAGGUAGGUCAAACACAAACCUCGAUACCCACCCAAAUUUUAAACAUACAAGAGUGUGAAAACAUACACGAAAACUGCGAUAAAUUUAAAGAGAAUGGCGUGUUCGGUUAGGAAAGAGUGUGAAAACAUAGAAAUUUCCCUUUUAGGUAGGUCAAACACAAACCUCGAUUACAACCCAAAUGUUAAACAUACAAGAGUGUGAAAACAUACACGAAAACUGCGAUAAAUUUUACGAAAAUGGCGUGUUCGGUUAAGAAAGAAUGUGAAAACAUAGAAAUUUCCCUUUUAGGUAGGUCAUACACAAUCUGCGUUGAAUUUAAAGAGAAUUGCGUUCGGUUAAGUGUGAAAACAUAGAAAUUUCCCUAUUAGGUAGGUCAAACACAAACCUCGAUUACAACCCAAAUUUUAAACAUACAAGAGAGUGAGAACAUACACGAAAACUGCGAUGAAUUUGAAGAGAAUGGUGUUCGGUUAAGAGUAUGAAAACAUAGAAAUUUCCCUUUUAGGUAGGUCAUUCACAAACUGCGAUGAAUUAAAAGAGAAUGGCGUAAAAACAUAGAAAUUUCCCUUUUAGGUAGGUCAAACACAAACCUCGAUUACAACCCAAAUGUUAAACAUACAAGAGUGUGAAAACAUUCACGAAAACUGCGAUGAAUUUAAAGAGAAUUGCUAUCGGUUAAGAGUGUGAAGACAUAGAAAUUUUACUUUUAGGUAGGUCAUACACAAUCUGCGUUGAAUUUGAAGAGAAUGGUGUUCGGUUAAGAGUGAAAACAUAGAAAUUUCCCUUUUAGGUAGGUUAUACACAAACUGCGAUGAAUUUGAGAGUAGUGUUCGAUUAAGAGUGUGAAAACAUAGAAAUUUCGCUAUUAGGUAGGUCAUUCACAAACUGCGAUGAAUUUAAAGAGAAUGGCGUGUUCGGUUAGGAAAGAGUGUGAAAACGUAGAAAUUUCCCUUUUAGGUAGGUCAUACACAAUCUGCGUUGAAUUUGAAGAGAAUGGUGUUCGGUUGAGUGAAAACAUAGAAAUUUCCCUAUUAGGUAGGUCAAACACAAACCUCGAUACCCACCCAAAUUUUAAACAUACAAGAGUGUGAAAACAUACACGAAAACUGCGAUAAAUUUAAAGAGAAUGGCGUGUUCGGUUAGGAAAGAGUGUGAAAACAUAGAAAUUUCCCUAUUAGGUAGGUCAAACACAAACCUCGAUACCCACCCAAAUUUUAAACAUACAAGAGUGUGAAAACAUACACGAAAACUGCGAUAAGUUUUACGAAAAUGGCGUGUUCGGUUAAGAAAGAAUGUGAAAACAUAGAAAUUUCCCUUUUAGGUAGGUCAUACACAAUCUGCGUUGAAUUUAAAGAGAAUUGCGUUCGGUUAAGAGUGUGAAAACAUAGAAAUUUCCCUAUUAGGUAGGUCAAACACAAACCUCGAUUACAACCCAAAUUUUAAACAUACAAGAGUGUGAAAACACACGAAAACUGCGAUGAAUUUAAAGAGAAUGGCGCGUUCGGUUAGGAAAGAGUGUGAAAACAUUGAAAUUUCCCCAUUAGGUAGGUCAAACACAAACCUCGAUUACAACCCAAAUUUUAAACAUACAAGAGUGUGAAAACAUACACGAAAACUGCGAUGAAUUUAAAGAGAAUGGCGUGUUUGGUUAGGAAAGAAUGUGAAAACAUAGAAAUUUCCCUUUUAGGUAGGUCAUACACAAUCUGCGUUGAAUUUAAAGAGAAUUGCGUUCGGUUAAGAGUGUGAAAACAUAGAAAUUUCCCUAUUAGGUAGGUCAAACACAAACCUCGAUUACAACCCAAAUUUUAAACAUACAAGAGUGUGAAAACACACGAAAACUGCGAUGAAUUUAAAGAGAAUUGCGUUCGGUUAAGAGUGUGAAGACAUAGAAAUUUCCCUUUUAGGUAGGUCAUACACAAACCUCGAUUACAACCCAAAUUUUAAACAUACAAGAGUGUGAAAACAUACACGAAAACUGCGAUGAAUUUAAAGAGAAUGGCGUGUUUGGUUAGGAAAGAGUGUGAAAACAUAGAAAUUUCCCUUUUAGGUAGGUCAUUCACAAACUGCGAUGAAUUUAUAGAGAAUGGCGUGUUCGGUUAGGAAAGAGUGUAAAAACAUAGAAAUUUCCCUUUUAGGUAGGUCAAACACAAACCUCGAUUACAACCCAAAUGUUAAACAUACAAGAGUGUGAAACCAUACACGAAAACUGCGAUAAAUUUUACGAAAAUGGCGUGUUCGGUUAGGAAAGAGUGUGAAAACGUAGAAAUUUUCCUAUUAGGUAGGUCAUACACAAACUGCGAUGAAUUUGAGAGUGGAGUGUUCGGUUAAGAGUGUGAAUACAUAGAAAUUUUCCUAUUAGGUAGGUCAUACACAAACCUCGAUUACAACCCAAAUUUUAAACAUACAAGAGUGUGAAAACAUACACGAAAACUGCGAUGAAUUUAAAGAGAAUGGCGUGUUUGGUUAGGAAAGAGUGUGAAAACAUAGAAAUUUCCCUUUUAGGUAGGUCAUUCACAAACUGCGAUGAAUUUAAAGAGAAUGGCGUGUUCGGUUAGGAAAGAGUGUAAAAACAUAGAAAUUUCCCUUUUAGGUAGGUCAAACACAAACCUCGAUUACAACCCAAAUGUUAAACAUACAAGAGUGUGAAACCAUACACGAAAACUGCGAUAAAUUUUACGAAAAUGGCGUGUUCGGUUAGGAAAGAGUGUGAAAACGUAGAAAUUUUCCUAUUAGGUAGGUCAUACACAAACUGCGAUGAAUUUGAGAGUGGAGUGUUCGGUUAAGAGUGUGAAUACAUAGAAAUUUCCCUUUUAGGUAGGUCAAACACAAACCUCGAUUACAACCCAAAUUUUAAACAUACAAUAAUUUAAACACAUACAAGAAAACUGUGAAUAAUUUGAGAGUGAAGUGUUUGGUUUAGAAAGAGUGUGAAAACUUGCGAUAUGAUGCGAAAAUGGUUAAACAUUAAGAUAAUAUACAUGACAUUACAACGCCAUAUUUCUGUAAAAUUAAAGACCCAAGAACAUAGGAUGAUACACAAUUAAUUAUAUUUGGUAAUUUAUCAUGAACUUCUUUACGUCUUAAAUUUUAUUUCUGCAUAGUCAAUGUUUUACUAGAUAUCAUCAAACUACAAUGCCACGUGAAAAAUGCACAAAGAAAAAUCGAAAAUCCCUUUCAAAAAUCAAGGAAAAGCGACAAUUGACAGAACAUUAAAUGCUUCUAAUCAACAAAAUACACAGCAUUUUUUGUCUACGAUUUAUAAAAGUUCGAACUUCACCUUUACCUUCUAUAACACAAAAAUAUCCUUUAUUGGUCAAAAUUGUCCAGCAUAAAAUGGAACAUAUCAUCCAAUUAUGAUCUAGCUACUUUUCAACCUGGAAAUUUCCUGCAAAGAAUGAGUAUGAACUUUCCAAAAUCGUCUGAAUCAUCUGAAUCAAUGGAAACUACACGUCAGGCCAAGCAUAAAUCUACCUCAACGCACCACAUUUAAUUCAAGCUAAAACUUCUCAAAUAUUAAUGUGCCAACCAAGUAUACAUCCACAAAAGAUUCUUCUGCUUCUCAACUUCUCCAUCUACAAUCAACUCAAUAUCUUCUACUUCCCAACUGCUCCUCCAUCUACAAGCAACUCAACACAGCUGACAUCUUUAAAAUGAAACUCUCUCACUAUUUUUAAGUUCGAUCUUCAACAAAACGAAAAUAUUUUUCCAACGUCCAACAAUUAACUUUCAAGGACAUGAAACCACAUCUAUCACAUUAUGUCUCAGAAAUCUGAACCCUGGUUUAUCAAAGCACAAAUCACAAGUAGAAUACUGAAAUAAUAAAUUCGGAGUCCACAUGUAUGACCCCUUUCUCAUAUACUCCGAAAAUGUUCACGAUACUAAUAAGCCUCCAAGUAACACGAAAUAUUUAUAUGACAAACUGCAUUUCAUACAAAUAUUACAAUACUAAACAUGCCAGAUAUGUCCUGAAAAUGAUACGUCUGUAUGGUUAAGAUGAGUGUGAAAACAUCGAAAUUUCCCAAUUGGAAACUUCCCUAAUACACAAAAUAUACCACGUUGAAUAUGAAAAGUUGACUUACAUAGAAAAUGCCCAAUUGUGAAAAGAGGGAAAUUUGUUUAUUUUGAAAAGAAGUCCCUAAAUCUUACUACGUUUUUGGAUAUACAAAUUAUUUGAAUUAACUUUGGUUCCUGAAAAACAAAUUGAUACAAAUAUAACUGGACAUAAAACCGAUUACUAUGAAAUUCAAGAAGACAAUAAUUACGACAUGUUUUUGAAAUGCAACCAACAAUAUGAUGACAAACUUAUGUACAAAUAGGAUUAUAUAUAUAUACAUAUAUCACUUAUUACUUUGCCUAAAUGUAAAAACCUAGAUCAACAACAAUAAUAUAUGUUAACAUCAGACACUAUAUAAUAGAGUAUGAUUUAUAUUUGAUAUGAAUGUGCAUGGCUAACACAUUUAUUCACUAUAAAUCGAUUCACAUUGUUCGUUUGAAUAUGCUGAAUCAAUUCAUGUAUACAUUCCGUUGAAAGCUUUCUGUUUAGCAACAAUUUCCAGAAAACAUGUUUUAUGUUGCAUUUGUGAAGGAACUUUGCCACAAUUAAUAUAUAACCCAUUUGUUGCUCAACUAACAUACUUUCGGUCUAUAUUUAACAAUUACAAUUUGUUCACUUUCUGUAUGCGACUGUACACUAAGGUAUAAACUAUACACCUCAACUCUGGUUAAUAAUCUUGUUCUUUGCAAAUAUACAUUUUAUGUUUAUUUGAAAUUAAUUAUUGCAUAGAUCUUAUAGGAAAUAGUUUGCCAGUUGAGAUCUGUUUCUACGGCUUGCUAACACCAAGUAUUUGCAGCAGUAAAGUUUUUUUCCAUAUUUUUAAUGUGUUGUCAAUUAUUAUAACAUAUCCUGUAUACUCUCACAAACUUUAAUUUAUUUCCCUAUUCAAAACUAAUUAUAUUCAUCUGGAACAACAUUUUAUACAGCCAAACUUUGCUAUCCUUACCCCCUCCCCCCCUUAUGUAUUCUAUUAAGUCUUAAUCCCAACUUGUUGCAACUGUUUAAUCAUCAUCGAGCCUUCUUCAAUAGAGUAUGGAUAUAUAUUCUGUAUAAUAAUCCUUUUGUACAAUCUGUUUCCCAUUCCCGCGACAUUCUCUGGGAAAAUCUAUCUAUCAACGAAUCAAACUGAUAAACCUCACGCCUCACCUGUUAAAUGUUACCUCUUCUCACCUGCUUGAAAUGCUCCAGGAUAAUAACAAAAAUCUUAUAAUACUUUUUAAUUGAUUGAAUUGGCGUCAUCAAAAAAACACUUUCGAAUGCAAUUGAAUGAAUCGGGCAAAUAUUAAUGUAAGCAUCAAAAUCAGAAAUUCACCAAAAUAUGGGCUUUACCUCAAAUAUUACAGCUAUAAACCUUAUUUGAUAUAUUGCAACAAGAAAAUGCAUAUUAAUUUAUGAAUCAUUAUCUUCGUUUAUUAUAACCAUAUACAUUUGUUAGAUUCACAAAUUCGCUCAGAAAUACAGCUUAAAUAAUUCGCAUCGCACAAAGAAACAAAGAAAUCGCAAAUGAAUUUUUUAAUGGAAAUAUUUGGGGAAAAUGGAAACGAUCUACAUAUAAAUAUUGAAAGUAGUAUCUAUUUUACAUAAAUAUAUGCCCAAACUAAAAAGGGCAUGAGGCCAUAAUUAAAAUACCAGAAAAGUUAAGGAAUCAAAUGAAAAACAAACAUAUAUAAAAUCUAAACUAUGAGCCAAAUAUUUGUUGCG